AGUCGAGCGGAUGAGGAGAGCUUGCUCUCUGAUUCAGCGGCGGACGGGUGAGUAAUGCCUAGGAAUCUGCCUGGUAGUGGGGGACAACGUUUCGAAAGGAACGCUAAUACCGCAUACGUCCUACGGGAGAAAGUGGGGGAUCUUCGGACCUCACGCUAUCAGAUGAGCCUAGGUCGGAUUAGCUAGUUGGUGGGGUAACGGCUCACCAAGGCGACGAUCCGUAACUGGUCUGAGAGGAUGAUCAGUCACACUGGAACUGAGACACGGUCCAGACUCCCACGGGAGGCAGCAGUGGGGAAUAUUGGACAAUGGGCGAAAGCCUGAUCCAGCCAUGCCGCGUGUGUGAAGAAGGCCCUCGGGUCGUAAAGCACUUUAAGCUGGGAGGAAGGGUUGUAACCUAAUACGUUGCAGCUUUGACGUUACCAGCAGAAUAAGCACCGGCUAACUCUGUGCCAGCAGCCGCGGUAAUACAGAGGGUGCAAGCGUUAAUCGGAAUUACUGGGCGUAAAGCGCGCGUAGGUGGCUUGGUAAGUUGAAUGUGAAAUCCCCGGGCUCAACCUGGGAACUGCAUCCAAAACUGCCUGGCUAGAGUACGGUAGAGGGUGGUGGAAUUUCCUGUGUAGCGGUGAAAUGCGUAGUAUAUAGGAAGGUACACCAGUGGCGAAGGCG
Molecule: ribosomal RNA, 669 nt
Filed under: uncultured Pseudomonadales bacterium
Lineage: Bacteria; Pseudomonadati; Pseudomonadota; Gammaproteobacteria; Pseudomonadales
Description: bacterial SSU rRNA
Rfam family: Bacterial small subunit ribosomal RNA
Source: RNAcentral